ACUCAAAGGAAUAGACGGGGGCCCGCACAAGCGGUGGAGCAUGUGGUUUAAUUCGUCACUAACCGAAGAACCUUACCCAGGCUUGACAUCGCGGGAAAGACUGUGAAAGCAGUCCCUCUCUUCGGAGACCCAAAGACAGGUGUUGCAUGGCUGUCGUCAGCUCGUGUCGUGAGAUGUUGGGUUAAGUCCCGCAACGAGCGCAACCCUCACCUGAUGUUGCCAGCGUAAAGUCGGGAACUCUUCAGGAACUGCCCGUGCAAGCGGGAGGAAGGUGGGGAUGACGUCAAGUCGGCAUGGCCCUUACGCCUGGGGCUACACACAUGCUACAAUGGACGGUAACAGAGCGCGCCGAGACCGCGAGGUGGAGGAAAUCGCACAAAUCCGUCCUCAGUUCGGAUAGCAGGCUGCAACUCGCCUGCUUGAAGCUGGAAUCGCUAGUAACCGCAGGUCAGCUAAACUGCGGUGAAUACGUUCCCGGGCCUUGUACACACCGCCCGU
RNAcentral lists this ribosomal RNA (498 nucleotides) under uncultured bacterium. RNAcentral's name for it is "partial 16S ribosomal RNA". It matches the Rfam family "Bacterial small subunit ribosomal RNA", at positions 899 to 1397 of the family's 1533-position model. The record is from RNAcentral.